UACAGAGGUCUCAAGCGUUGUUCGGAUUAACUGGGCGUAAAGGGUGCGUAGGUGGUAAUUUUAGUCCAUCGUAAAAUAUUCAAGCUCAACUUGAAAAUCUCGAUGGAAACUGAAUUGCUUGAGAUUUUAUUAGGAAAUCGGAAUUCUCGGUGUAGCAGUGAAAUGCGUAGAUAUCGAGAGGAACACCAGUGGCGAAAGCGGAUUUCUAAGAAAAAACUGACACUGAUGCACGAAAGCUAAGGGAGCAAACGGG
RNAcentral lists this ribosomal RNA (253 nucleotides) under uncultured bacterium. Its description in RNAcentral is "partial 16S ribosomal RNA". It matches the Rfam family "Bacterial small subunit ribosomal RNA", at positions 524 to 776 of the family's 1533-position model. The record is from RNAcentral.